RNAcentral lists this unclassified non-coding RNA (1835 nucleotides) under Hevea brasiliensis (rubber tree). The record is from RNAcentral. Lineage: Eukaryota; Viridiplantae; Streptophyta; Magnoliopsida; Malpighiales; Euphorbiaceae.
AAAAAAACCAUGGCUAAGAGUUUUCAGCAAGCUUGCAAGAUCAACGAUUUGAACAUUUUUACCAGGUAGAGAGCGUGCAGUCCAGCUUGAUGCAGGGUUGAAACGUACAUGCUUGCAUAAGUUAUUAAGAAUUACAUAAGAUGGAUAUUAAUCAUAUUUACAAAUGAACCAUAUACAGUUAAUUCACAAUUCCAACAUAAAUUCCCCACGUGACGAUGAUGUGGGCAACUUGUGCUACUUUCUACUAAAUGACCUGUACGAUGUCCACCCACUCCAAGGAAGUGGCAGCAUCCAAGCUGGGUCAACUAAUCAAAUAGAAAAUCAAAAACAGCUAAAUUGCCAUCAGAGGAUUGCCAUCAGAGGCAAAAAUUAUCAACCCUUGUGCAACACUUAAGUUUGAGCAAAUUAUUUGGCUUCUAAUCAGCAUUGUUAUUCAGCAAUAACUAACAAACAAUAUCAUCAUUGAAAUGAAUAUGACAGAAUGUUGAACAAACACUUGCAAAAAACAAGAUUUUAGUGAUAAUUAUGGAGAGAAGUCCAAAAUGGUACAAUACCCAUGGUAAUCUAGUUGGAUUCUAAACAUGAAAUAAUCUUGAACAAAAAAUAGCAAACUCAAACAAAAGUUUGGAACAGAUCACAAUUGACCUUACUUUAGUUCCACUUCGGCUACGUUAGGAUAGGUUAGGAUUUUCAACAAAGAUGAUUGAAAUAUAAUUUUCAAAUUCACCCUCGAAGAUUUGUUGAAAGAAUAUUUUUCUUUUUUAUGAGUUUAAAUCAUUAUUCACACAAGAAUUAUUAAACCCAGACUGGCCCUCCAGGUUGACUUGGCGAACCAAUGACUCAAGCAUCAAACCGGUCUGAGUUUAAAAUUAAACAGGAUGAGGAAUUGAAACACUAAAAACCAUUCUACCCAUUUUUUGUCAACCCAUGUGACCCAACAGGUUGACAUGAUUAAUAAAAGCUGCCACAUCAUCUUUAACAAAAAAAAAUAAUUUUGAGUGCGAGUAACUAGUAAGGAGAUUUGAACCCAAGAUCUCAUGAGAUGCAAAUCCCCACCACCUUUUCAUUGUUAAAGGCUAUCACAGUGGAAGAGAAGAAGUCAACUCCCACAUAACCAGAUAAAGUCAGUGAUUGAAAUAGGGAAGUGAAAAAAAGAUGGAGCUAAGGGACAGGAAGACUUUUUUGUUGUUCCUAUUCCUUACCUUAUCAUACUCCUUAUUUUAGAUCAAUCAAUAUACCUUCCACCGAUGGCUUGCUAGCAAGCAGGCUUGUCUUUGUUGUAUUGGAAGAGACCCCCUUUCCAUUUCAAAUCUUAAGAAAACAAAAAUUAUGAAACCAUCAGGUCUGUCAUCUCUACUCAUUUGAGUGUGUGAAGCAGGUUGCAAGGAUGGGAAAGAAGAAGAAGAAGAAGGGUGCUAGGCUUCUCCCGACCAAGGGGAGAAGCUUUUAGCCAGAUUAAAAAUUGGUCUGUUAUGAACAAGAAUUGGGAUAAGGCUAAUAGAUAAUCGGAUAGUUAGGCCAACAGAUCACAUAGGGGAUCCCCCAAUCUUUCCUCAAAUUAGGAUCAUACUCCCUAGUCGUCUUGUGCCACUUGGGACCUGGUCAAGGGUGGUAACUGAUUGCCCAUCGAUGGAAAGAGGACAUCGUCUGUGGAAUACAAACAAAAUCGACAACCAAAGGGCAAAGUAACCCUAUGAAAGGAGGUAAGGUCCGAUAUACACACACAACCUAACGAAUGUUGAAAAUUUAAUUAAAAAAAUUAAAAAUCAGUCAAUUAAACUUAUUUAUUUAUAUUAAUAAAUGUACUAUUUAAUUAAUUUUGUUAAUGAUACACC